RNAcentral lists this ribosomal RNA (595 nucleotides) under uncultured fungus. RNAcentral describes it as "eukaryotic LSU rRNA". It matches the Rfam family "Eukaryotic large subunit ribosomal RNA", at positions 23 to 641 of the family's 3401-position model. Lineage: Eukaryota; Fungi. The record is from RNAcentral.
ACCCGCUGAACUUAAGCAUAUCAAUAAGCGGAGGAAAAGAAACCAACAGGGAUUGCCCUAGUAACGGCGAGUGAAGCGGCAACAGCUCAAAUUUGAAAUCUGGCUUUCGGGCCCGAGUUGUAAUUUGUAGAGGAUACUUUUGAUGCGGUGCCUUCCGAGUUCCCUGGAACGGGACGCCAUAGAGGGUGAGAGCCCCGUCUGGUUGGAUGCCAAAUCUCUGUAAAGUUCCUUCGACGAGUCGAGUAGUUUGGGAAUGCUGCUCUAAAUGGGAGGUAUAUGUCUUCUAAAGCUAAAUAUUGGCCAGAGACCGAUAGCGCACAAGUAGAGUGAUCGAAAGAUGAAAAGUACUUUGAAAAGAGAGUUAAAAAGUACGUGAAAUUGUUGAAAGGGAAGCGUUUAUGACCAGACUUGGACUUGGUUAAUCAUCUGGGGUUCUCUCCAGUGCACUUUUCCAGUUCAGGCCAGCAUCAGUUUUCGCCGGGGGAUAAAGGCAGCGGGAAUGUGGCUCUCUUCGGGGAGUGUUAUAGCCCGCUGUGUAAUACCCUGGUGGGGACUGAGGUUCGCGCUUCUGCAAGGAUGCUGGCGUAAUGGUCAU